GAUGAACGCUGGCGGCGUGCCUAAUACAUGCAAGUCGAGCGAACAGACGAGGAGCUUGCUCCUCUGACGUUAGCGGCGGACGGGUGAGUAACGCGUGGAUAAUCUACCUAUAAGACUGGGAUAACUUCGGGAAACCGGAGCUAAUACCGGAUAAUAUAUUGAACCGCAUGGUUCAAUAGUGAAAGACGGUUUUGCUGUCACUUAUAGAUGGAUCCGCGCCGCAUUAGCUAGUUGGUAAGGUAACGGCUUACCAAGGCAACGAUGCGUAGCCGACCUGAGAGGGUGAUCGGCCACACUGGAACUGAGACACGGUCCAGACUCCUACGGGAGGCAGCAGUAGGGAAUCUUCCGCAAUGGGCGAAAGCCUGACGGAGCAACGCCGCGUGAGUGAUGAAGGUCUUCGGAUCGUAAAACUCUGUUAUUAGGGAAGAACAAAUGUGUAAGUAACUAUGCACGUCUUGACGGUACCUAAUCAGAAAGCCACGGCUAACUACGUG
RNAcentral lists this ribosomal RNA (497 nucleotides) under uncultured bacterium. Its description in RNAcentral is "partial 16S ribosomal RNA". It matches the Rfam family "Bacterial small subunit ribosomal RNA", at positions 28 to 507 of the family's 1533-position model. The record is from RNAcentral.